Triticum dicoccoides is the source of this 584-nucleotide long non-coding RNA. RefSeq lists it as uncharacterized. NCBI's taxonomy places the organism in Eukaryota, Viridiplantae, Streptophyta, Magnoliopsida, Poales, Poaceae. The record is from RefSeq and is a predicted model, not a curated record. The transcript has 2 exons.
CCUUGCUGAGGUUGUCCUCACCAUCCAUCGUUGACUAGGAUGAACGCUACUGCGCGAUGUCGUCUGUCCGCCGCCGUUCAGGAUCGAAGCUGCAGCCCACCCUUUGCGCCGCAAAAGAAAUGCUUGCACCUUGGUUCGACUGCUGGGAGGAGGACCACCCAGCGAGGUGACUGAGUUGCUGCCGACAGACCAUGCAGUGGCAACUCUGUCUGGUACAUCUGCAGUUCUGCAUGUGUGUUUGUGGGCUUGUGGCUAGAAUGAGAACUGUGGCUACAUCCACCCCUCACUAUCGCACAGUGCGAUUGUGGACACCUCAGUUUAUUUUUCUGAGUAUGCUCCACUCCCAUUCAGUGUGGUGGAUUUGAGAGGUUCGAGAGGUGAUCACUUUUCAAAUGCCACCUCAUAUUUUUUUUCUUCAUCUGUCCUGUUUUCCAUAGUGUUUUAGGUAAGAGAUCAAAGAGAUCAACGUAAACGACCAUGUGUUUGGAUAAGUUAUUUAUGUGAAUAGUUGUGUUUUAGUCACUUCUCCUUACUUGUCAAACUACUAAUUCCAUGCAAUAAAAGAAAACUAGUAAUUUCAUCCA